RNAcentral lists this ribosomal RNA (1306 nucleotides) under uncultured bacterium. RNAcentral describes it as "bacterial SSU rRNA". It matches the Rfam family "Bacterial small subunit ribosomal RNA", at positions 28 to 1381 of the family's 1533-position model. The record is from RNAcentral.
AACGUACGCUGGCGGCACGCCUAACACAUGCAAGUCGAACGAAGUAGCAAUACUUAGUGGCAGACGGGUGAGUAACAUGUGGGUAUCUGCCCUUUGGCCUGGAAUAACACGAGGAAACUUGUGCUAAUACCGGAUAAGUCUUUACGAAGAAAGCUUUAUGCACCAUUGGAUGAGCCCGCACUUGAUUAGUUUGUUGGUGGGGUAAUGGCCUACCAAGACUGUGAUCAAUAGCUGAUUUGAGAGGAUGAUCAGCCACAUUGGGACUGAGACACGGCCCAAACUCCUACGGGAGGCAGCAGUGGGGAAUCUUGCACAAUGGAGGAAACUCUGAUGCAGCGAUGCCGCGUGAGUGAAGAAGGCCCUUGGGUUGUAAAGCUCUUUCGUCGGGGAAGAAAAUGACUGUACCCGAAUAAGAAGGUCCGGCUAACUUCGUGCCAGCAGCCGCGGUAAUACGAAGGGACCUAGCGUAGUUCGGAAUUACUGGGCUUAAAGAGUUCGUAGGUGGUUGAAAAAGUUAGUGGUGAAAUCCCAGAGCUUAACUCUGGAACUGCCAUUAAAACUUUUUAGCUAGAGUAUGAUAGAGGAAAGCAGAAUUUCUAGUGUAGAGGUGAAAUUCGUAGAUAUUAGAAAGAAUACCAAUUGCGAAGGCAGCUUUCUGGAUCAUUACUGACACUGAGGAACGAAAGCAUGGGUAGCGAAGAGGAUUAGAUACCCUCGUGGUCCAUGCCGUAAACGAUGUGUGUUAGACGUUGGAAAUUUAUUUUCAGUGUCGCAGCGAAAGCGAUAAACACACCGCCUGGGGAGUACGACCGCAAGGUUAAAACUCAAAUGAAUUGACGGGGACCCGCACAAGUAGUGGAGCAUGUGGUUUAAUUCGAAGAUACGCGCAGAACCUUACCAACACUUGACAUGUUCGUCGCGACUCUAAGAGAUUAGAGUUUUCGGUUCGGCCGGACGAAACACAGGUGCUGCAUGGCUGUCGUCAGCUCGUGUCGUGAGAUGUUGGGUUAAGUCCCGCAACGAGCGCAACCCUCACUUUUAGUUGCCAUCAUUAAGUUGGGCACUCUGAAAGAACUGCCAGUGAUAAGCUGGAGGAAGGUGGGGAUGACGUCAAGUCCUCAUGGCCCUUACGUGUUGGGCUACACACGUGCUACAAUGGUAUCUACAACAGGAAGCAAGACUGCGAGGUCAAGCAAAUCCUUAAAAGAUACCUCAGUUCGGAUUGCACUCUGCAACUCGAGUGCAUGAAGCUGGAAUUACUAGUAAUCGUGGAUCAGCGUGCCACGGUGAAUGCGUUCCCGGGUCU